Molecule: non-coding RNA, 99 nt
Filed under: Herbinix luporum
Lineage: Bacteria; Bacillati; Bacillota; Clostridia; Lachnospirales; Lachnospiraceae
Also listed under: 1 other name
Description: TPP riboswitch aptamer (THI element)
Rfam family: TPP riboswitch aptamer (THI element)
About the family: Vitamin B(1) in its active form thiamin pyrophosphate (TPP) is an essential coenzyme that is synthesised by coupling of pyrimidine and thiazole moieties in bacteria. The previously detected thiamin-regulatory element, thi box was extended, resulting in a new, highly conserved RNA secondary structure, the THI element, which is widely distributed in eubacteria and also occurs in some archaea.
Source: Rfam by way of RNAcentral
UAAACAUUGCGGGGGAACUCAUUAGAGUUGAGAAGGUAGAACCUGACCCUUUGAACCUGUCAGUUAACACUGUCGUAGGGAAGCAACUAUUUUGUUAAG